This 433-nucleotide ribosomal RNA is filed under the name uncultured bacterium. RNAcentral's name for it is "partial 16S ribosomal RNA". It matches the Rfam family "Bacterial small subunit ribosomal RNA", at positions 29 to 507 of the family's 1533-position model. The record is from RNAcentral.
AACGAACGCUGGCGGCAUGCCUAACACAUGCAAGUCGAACGAGACCUUCGGGUCUAGUGGCGCACGGGUGCGUAACGCGUGGGAACCUGCCCUUAGGUUCGGAAUAACUCCCCGAAAGGGGUGCUAAUACCGGAUAAUGUCUUCGGACCAAAGAUUUAUCGCCUUUGGAUGGGCCCGCGUUGGAUUAGCUAGUUGGUAGGGUAAAAGCCUACCAAGGCGACGAUCCAUAGCUGGUCUGAGAGGAUGAUCAGCCACACUGGAACUGAGACACGGCCCAGACUCCUACGGGAGGCAGCAGUGGGGAAUAUUGGACAAUGGGCGAAAGCCUGAUCCAGCAAUGCCGCGUGAGUGAUGAAGGCCUUAGGGUUGUAAAGCUCUUUUACCCGGGAUGAUAAUGACAGUACCGGGAGAAUAAACGCCGGCUAACUCCGUG